RNAcentral lists this ribosomal RNA (373 nucleotides) under uncultured bacterium. Its description in RNAcentral is "bacterial SSU rRNA". It matches the Rfam family "Bacterial small subunit ribosomal RNA", at positions 527 to 896 of the family's 1533-position model. The record is from RNAcentral.
GGGGGGAGCAAGCGUUGUUCGGAUUUACUGGGCGUAAAGGGCGCGUAGGCGGCCAGCGCAAGUCAGUUGUGAAAUCUCCGACCUUAACUCGGAAAGGUCAACUGAUACUGCGCGGCUAGAGUGCGGAAGGGGCAACUGGAAUUCUUGGUGUAGCGGUGAAAUGCGUAGAUAUCAAGAGGAACACCUGCGGCGAAGGCGGGUUGCUGGGCCGACACUGACGCUGAGGCGCGAAAGCCAGGGGAGCGAACGGGAUUAGAUACCCCGGUAGUCCUGGCCUUAAACGAUGAAUGCUUGGUGUCUGGGGUUACAUAGUCCCCGGGUGCCGUCGCUAACGCUUUAAGCAUUCCGCCUGGGGAGUACGGUCGCAAGACUG